Molecule: ribosomal RNA, 497 nt
Filed under: uncultured bacterium
Lineage: Bacteria
Description: partial 16S ribosomal RNA
Rfam family: Bacterial small subunit ribosomal RNA
Source: RNAcentral
GAUGAACGCUGGCGGCGUGCCUAAUACAUGCAAGUCGAGCGAACAGACGAGGAGCUUGCUCCUCUGACGUUAGCGGCGGACGGGUGAGUAACACGUGGAUAACCUACCUAUAAGACUGGGAUAACUUCGGGAAACCGGAGCUAAUACCGGAUAAUAUAUUGAACCGCAUGGUUCAAUAGUGAAAGACGGUUUUGCUGUCACUUAUAGAUGGAUCCGCGCCUAAUGAGCUAGUUGGUGAGGUAACGGCUUACCAAGGCAACGAUGCGUAGCCGACCUGAGAGGGUGGACGCCCAGCUGGGAAGAGAGGAAGGUUCGCGACACUGGGGGUAGGACACGGUAGGGAAUCUUCCGCGAGGGAGGAAUGCCGAACGGAGCAACGCCGGGGGAGUGAUGAUGGUGUUAGGAUCGUAAAGCGCUGUUAUUAGGAAGGACGAAAUGCUUAAGUAACCGGGAACAUCUUGACGGUACCGAAUCAAAAAGCCCCGGCUAACUACGUG